UACGUAGGGUACGAGCGUUGUCCGGAAUUACUGGGCGUAAAGAGCUCGUAGGUGGUUUGUCGCGUUGUCCGUGAAAACUCACAGCUCAACUGUGGGCGUGCGGGCGAUACGGGCAGACUGGAGUACUGCAGGGGAGACUGGAAUUCCUGGUGUAGCGGUGAAAUGCGCAGAUAUCAGGAGGAACACCGGUGGCGAAGGCGGGUCUCUGGGCCGAUACUGACGCUGAGGAGCGAAAGCGUGGGGAGCGAACAGG
This 253-nucleotide ribosomal RNA is filed under the name uncultured bacterium. RNAcentral's name for it is "partial 16S ribosomal RNA". It matches the Rfam family "Bacterial small subunit ribosomal RNA", at positions 524 to 776 of the family's 1533-position model. The record is from RNAcentral.